Long non-coding RNA from Amphiprion ocellaris (clown anemonefish), 1730 nucleotides. NCBI's taxonomy places the organism in Eukaryota, Metazoa, Chordata, Actinopteri, Pomacentridae. The record is from Ensembl.
CUUUAUUUGGCAGCUCUGACAUGUAAACAUUUUGACAGGAUUUAAACUCUUCUCCACACUUUGGUCCUCGUUUGGCUCAGAUGAAGAAAAAAAUCCUGGUUUUAUUUUCAGUCCAAAAAAUCCCCAAACACUCCUUCACCUGCCGAAAACCCCCAAACUGUCCCUGAACAGACACUUUCACUUUAACAGCUUUAACAGGUUUUUCUUUCCUAAUUAUCACAAGACGACUAUUUGUAGUGAUUCCUAUCAUAAUCAGACAUUUAUCUCAUUUAUAUAAAAAUAAUUAUUAGUCUUUGGCACUAAAUUAGGUCCACUCAUUGGAGUUUUUCUUUAAAAAAUCUGAAUUCAAGGUUGGUUUUUGUUGCUUCCGGAACUCCAUCAGUGAAACGGUAAUGCUGCUAGGAGAACUAUGAGUUCAGAUUAUUAGAAAAUAAAGACAAUUCCAAAACAAAAUCAUCAUCAUGACGUCAAAAAAACACACAAAGCUAAUGAACAAAAAAAGAAAAGCAGAAUUAAAAUGUUCUAAAUCCACCAGUAGCAGAUGGAGUUCAGUCUGGAGCUCAUUUUGGUCCCUGAACGCACCACAGGAGGUCGGGUGGAGUUUCCCUUUCAGAGAAUCUUUGGUCGUUAUUGCACAAAAGUGUUGUUGCAUAGUUGUUGUUGUUGAGGUAAACAAACAAACCAAAAACAUUCAAACGCGUCAACAAAACAGCUUCAAGGUCAAACGGAACAUGAACGCAGCAAAUACAGGGCUCCAAACUCACUUUAACAUUGGUGCACCGGAGCGCCUUCAGCCAGGUCGCAAAACUGUUUACUGAUGUUCCCUAAACGCCUCGCAGUCAUCAGUAGAUGCUGCAGUUUCCAGAUGUUCCCUAAAUACCUCACAAUCAUCAACAGACACUGUAGUUUCCAAAAGUUCUCUAAACAUCCCAGUCAUCAGUAGAUGCUGCAGUUUCCAGAUGUUCCCUAAACGCCUCACAGUCAUCAGUAGACACUACAGUUUCCAGAUGUUCCUUAAACACCUCACAGUCAUCAGUUGACACUAGUUUCCAGAUGUUCCCUAAACGCCUCGCAGUCAUCAGUAGAUGCUGCAGUUUCCAGAUGUUCCCUAAAUACUUCACAAUCAUCAACAGAUGCUGUAGUUUCCAAAAGUUCUCUACACAUCCCACAGUCAUCAGUAGACUCUGCAGUUUCCAGAUGUUCCCUAAAUGCCUCACAGUCAUUAGUAGACACUACAGUUUCCAGAUCUACUGAUGACUGUGAGGGAUUUAGGGAACAUCUGGAAACUGAGUGAUUAGUUUCCAGAUGCUCCCUAAACACUGAAAAAUUCAUCAAUGAAUGCUGCAGUUUUCAGAUGUUCCCUAAAUGCCUCACAAUCAUCAACAGAAACUGAAGUUUUAAGAUGUGCCCUAAACACUUCGGAGUCAUCAAUAAAUGCCGCUGUUUCCAGAUGUUCCCUAAAGGCCUCAUAGUGAUCAGUGGAAGCCGCAACUUCCAGAUGGUCCCUAAAUGCCCCGCAGUCAUUAGUCGAUGCCUCAGUUUCCAAUUCUACUGAUGACUGUGAGGCGUUUAUGGAACAUAUGGGAAUUGAAACAUUAUUAGGUAUCUCAGUUUCCAGAUGUUCCCUAAAUGCCCCGCAGUCAUCAGAAGACACUACAGUUUCCAGAUAUUCCCUACACGCCUCACAGUCAUCAGUAGAUACCUCAGUUUCCAGAUCUAUUGAUGACUGU